GAGAGGGAAAAAUAGCACACCCUGUAUCUCCCCAGUUGAGUAGUCAGAUAUUUAAUAAAGACAAGACCUCUGGACUUGGCAGCACAGGACAGAAGAAAGAGGAGUCCUCAGCAUUUUCUGUUCCCGAGGCUGAAUGCUGUCACAAGCUGAUGAUUUGCGGUGGGACAGAAGUGGCCAAAGAGGCAGAAGGUAUGUACCCAGGGUUGAGUUCUGCUGUCUGAGCAGCGAUUACAAUUGCUAUUUUGGAAGGCUUGGAAAAAUUCCCUGUGUAGGUGUGAGUUCCCCUGACAUCCUCAUGUAAGAUCCUUUUAACAGCCUGGGACUGUAGUUCCUAAGCAAAAUACAUUAAGGUUUCUGUGUUCCUUUCAGGAAAUAUCUUGUCUGCCUUGUGAGGAAGGGGAGUAAUGCAGCGUCCCUUGAAUAUGCUAAGUCCCUCCGAAAAACAUGCUUGCUUGUUUGUUCCUUUGAAGUGUGUGUGUGUGUGUGUGCGCGCGCGCGCGCUCCUGCAAGCACAAAAGCAGUUAAAGAAGAAGAUUGUGAUUGGUUGAUACCAGGAACUUUUAGUUUUUCUUUGUGCUGAGAGAAAUUUAAAAAAAAAAAUAGGUCAGAGGAUUUCUUGGAAUAAUUCUACUUUCAGAGGCUUGGCUGAACUUCUCAGCAAAAGUCCUUGGUUGGCCACCCGCUAAGGAAUGAACUUCACCAGUUCUGGACCCUGGAGCAGCCUGCACUGUUGGAAAGUCUUACUCUCAGACCGAUGGCACAUGAAGACUUUGGACAGCUGAUUGAACAAGUGCUCCGUGGCCCAUUUUCAUGCUUCCACGUGGAACCCAGGUGAGGCAGCCCAGGUGAAGAGUGUUAAUCCAAAACUGCACAGGUACAUGACCAGGGGCAGCCCGGCCGGGUGUGGUGAAUACUGUGUCUAUACAUCAGACAGAUGGUGUCAAGGGGUUGCUCUCUUCCUUAAAAACAAAACAAAACAAAACAAAACA
Molecule: long non-coding RNA, 989 nt
Organism: Acinonyx jubatus (cheetah)
Lineage: Eukaryota; Metazoa; Chordata; Mammalia; Carnivora; Felidae
Exons: 2
Source: RefSeq, a predicted model, not a curated record